RNAcentral lists this small nucleolar RNA (144 nucleotides) under Macaca nemestrina (pig-tailed macaque). Its description in RNAcentral is "Small nucleolar RNA SNORA31 (ENSMNEG00000018060.1)". It matches the Rfam family "Small nucleolar RNA SNORA31". Rfam says of the family: ACA31 (SNORA31) belongs to the H/ACA class of snoRNAs which are thought to guide the sites of modification of uridines to pseudouridines. ACA31 is predicted to guide the pseudouridylation of U3713 in 28S rRNA and U218 in 18S rRNA. The record is from Rfam by way of RNAcentral. Lineage: Eukaryota; Metazoa; Chordata; Mammalia; Primates; Cercopithecidae.
UUGAGUCCAUUUACAUUUACAUUUAACGGCUUAAUAUUGCCGUUAUGGGUUUUCGGUUUUGCACUAGGAUGCAUAGAAGAAAAAUCCCUGCACUCUUCCGUCUGUCUUUGUGGCGGCCCGAGAUUGAAUUGGGGGAAUACAUCU